Pelobates cultripes (western spadefoot toad) is the source of this 203-nucleotide non-coding RNA. Lineage: Eukaryota; Metazoa; Chordata; Amphibia; Anura; Pelobatidae. The record is from the annotation of a GenBank genome assembly.
GGAAGGUCUGACAACAGGGACGUGGGGUGAAGAGGCAUAUGGGGUGAGGGACUCAAGUGCAGAAUACAGAAAUACAAAGGGGCAUAUGGGGAUUGGCAAACACAAUGCAACAAUACACUAGCACUCCAAAGACCUACAUUCACACACUGGCAGUCCACUCAAAUGCACACACACAUUCACACAAACAGUGACACAAGGUUAAC